This 245-nucleotide ribosomal RNA is filed under the name uncultured bacterium. RNAcentral describes it as "partial small subunit ribosomal RNA". It matches the Rfam family "Bacterial small subunit ribosomal RNA", at positions 26 to 285 of the family's 1533-position model. The record is from RNAcentral.
AGGAUAAACGCUGGCGGCGUGCCUAACACAUGCAAGUCGCACGAGAAAGGGACUUCGGUCCUGAGUACAGUGGCGCACGGGUGAGUAACACGUGAAUAAUCUACCUCCGAGUGGGGAAUAACUGAGAGAAAUCUUAGCUAAUACCGCAUAACACUUACGAGUCAAAGCAGCAAUGCGCUUGGAGAGGAGUUCGCGGCAGAUUAGUUAGUUGGCGGGGUAAUGGCCCACCAAGACGAUGAUCUGUA